GGGCAAUUGGUUUAGUGGUACAAUACCUCCUUAGCAUCCGAUUUCUAUUGGAAUUAACAAUUUGGGGUGGCCGGGAGUUCGAUUCCCUGAUUGUCCA
Molecule: non-coding RNA, 97 nt
Organism: Emergomyces pasteurianus Ep9510
Lineage: Eukaryota; Fungi; Ascomycota; Eurotiomycetes; Onygenales; Ajellomycetaceae
Source: the annotation of a GenBank genome assembly